GUGUUGGGAUAAAAUCUGCUAACUCGAUCUGCUGUAAAAAGCCCAGAGUUGAGGGCCAUCCAGGCGAUAAUACUGUGCUUGGGGAUAUUCAAUUUGUUCCGAACGAUGCCUGCAUAGUCGACCUUAGGAUAGGUCUGCCUAAUGAGGUUCCAGGCUGUUUUGGAGUUUCAAUUUCCAUCCGGGCUGAGAGACCAAACGAUCCUGUCUUCAACAGGGAGCUGCGGGAGUUCAUACAGGGCAAUCUCUUGCAUUAGACACUGUCCAGCUAUUCUGCGGCUAGGAGGAAGGUUCCAAUGCCCAUUAUUAGCUUACUAGAGCAUGGUCCGGGAGACCUCUUUCCCUUAUAACAGU
RNAcentral lists this unclassified non-coding RNA (351 nucleotides) under Hevea brasiliensis (rubber tree). The record is from RNAcentral. Lineage: Eukaryota; Viridiplantae; Streptophyta; Magnoliopsida; Malpighiales; Euphorbiaceae.